AUGGAGACUAGCAUCGCGAUUCAAACUAAUAGAUUUCGUCGCAUCCCAGGCCUCACCCCGAUUUGUAAUGUAUGUGGGGCCGAGGAUGAAACAGGCUUCCAUAUGGCACAUCGAUGCACAUUUGCAAGGGCCUUGUGGCACGAACUCAAGGAGGCAUGGAACCUGCCUCCUGAGCAGGAAGUAGAAUAUACUGGAAGGGAUUGGGUCCUAAUCUUGCUAGAUAAGGUGAGUGAAGAUAUGAAACAAAAAUUUAUGCUAUUUUGGUGGCGUGUUUGGCACCAUAGAAAUGACGCGAUCUUCGCAAAAGGUAAAGCGAAAAUUUCCCACUCUGCUCGUUUUCUGCAAAACUACCUUGCAAACAUCCGCUUGAUUGCGGAGGGAACUUCUGAGAUAGAUCGAAAAGGGAAAAGUCCGAUGGUUAACUUGCCAUCAGUGCAACAACAUGAUCAUACAAAGGAAAAAGGAUGGACAAUGCCAGAGCUCGGAUGGGCUAAGGUCAAUGUUGAUGGAAGUUUUUUGGAGGAAAAUAGGAGUGGAGCCUGGGGAGCUGUGAUUCGAGAUCAUGAUGGAAGAAUUAUCUUAUCAGCUUGGGAUUAUAUACCGCGGUGCAAUGGAGCGGACUGCGCGGAAGCCAUGGCUUGCCUAGAAGGACUAAGGAUGGCAAUGUCGGGGACGAAUCUACCCUUAAUCAUCGAGACGGAUUGCAGCUCGGUGACAAAGGCGCUUAUCCUCUCGUCUAUUGAUAGAUCGGAGGUUGCAACAAUUGUAAAGGAGUUUCAAGCCAUGAAAGGGAACAGAGAAGUAAAAGUUUGCAAAGUAGAUAGAAGGGACAAUAGGUUAGCUCAUAGUCUUGCCCAGUUGGGGCGUAGAGAGUUGCUUGGUGGGGUUAGGCAAGGCUCUGUGCCAACCUGCGUGUUGAGUGAGGCCUUGCACGAUUGUACGAACUAUGUUUCUCUACUUAAUUAA
This 966-nucleotide ribosomal RNA is filed under the name Triticum aestivum (bread wheat). RNAcentral's name for it is "partial small subunit ribosomal RNA". The record is from RNAcentral. Lineage: Eukaryota; Viridiplantae; Streptophyta; Magnoliopsida; Poales; Poaceae.